This 288-nucleotide RNase P RNA is filed under the name Candidatus Bathyarchaeota archaeon. RNAcentral's name for it is "RNase P RNA component". It matches the Rfam family "Archaeal RNase P". Rfam says of the family: Ribonuclease P (RNase P) is a ubiquitous endoribonuclease, found in archaea, bacteria and eukarya as well as chloroplasts and mitochondria. Its best characterised activity is the generation of mature 5'-ends of tRNAs by cleaving the 5'-leader elements of precursor-tRNAs. Cellular RNase Ps are ribonucleoproteins. Lineage: Archaea; Thermoproteati; Candidatus Bathyarchaeota. The record is from RNAcentral.
GUGAGCCGGCGGGCGGCUGCCGGGCCUUCGGCCCGAGGAAACUCCAUCCACCGCGCAGGACCGCGGCGCCGAGAGGCGCAGGGGGAGACCCCUGGCACCGGACAGAGACGUGACCUCCCGUGGCGCGCAGUGAUGCCGUGGAGGCUGAGGACGCCACGGGCCCGGGUGAGACGGCCGACCCAGCGGGGUGAAAGGGCGAAUAGGCGUCGUCGAUGGCCUGCCUGAGACGCGGGUGGCCCGUUGAGCUGGAUGCCGCCUAGAACAGAAGGUGGGUUACGGCCGGCACAC